Molecule: non-coding RNA, 45 nt
Filed under: Schistosoma curassoni
Lineage: Eukaryota; Metazoa; Platyhelminthes; Trematoda; Strigeidida; Schistosomatidae
Source: RNAcentral
AUCCACCUGACGAGUCCCAAAUAAGACGAAACAUGAGGCCUGGAU